UACGAAGGGGGCGAGCGUUGUUCGGAAUUACUGGGCGUAAAGGGCGCGCAGGCGGCCUUAGAAGUCAGAUGUGAAAGCCCCGGGCUCAACCUGGGAAUGGCAUUUGAUACUCUGAGGCUGGAGUACGGGAGAGGAGAGUGGAAUUCCCAGUGUAGAGGUGAAAUUCGUAGAUAUUGGGAAGAACACCGGUGGCGAAGGCGGCGACCUGGGUCGAGACUGACGCUGAGGCGCGAAAGCGUGGGGAGCAAACAGG
RNAcentral lists this ribosomal RNA (253 nucleotides) under uncultured bacterium. Its description in RNAcentral is "partial 16S ribosomal RNA". It matches the Rfam family "Bacterial small subunit ribosomal RNA", at positions 524 to 776 of the family's 1533-position model. The record is from RNAcentral.